Molecule: non-coding RNA, 23 nt
Filed under: Rattus norvegicus (Norway rat)
Lineage: Eukaryota; Metazoa; Chordata; Mammalia; Rodentia; Muridae
Source: RNAcentral
CAUUGAAUGAAUUAGGAAGCCAC